RNAcentral lists this ribosomal RNA (464 nucleotides) under uncultured spirochete Rsa552. RNAcentral's name for it is "bacterial SSU rRNA". It matches the Rfam family "Bacterial small subunit ribosomal RNA", at positions 1074 to 1533 of the family's 1533-position model. Lineage: Bacteria; Pseudomonadati; Spirochaetota; Spirochaetia; Spirochaetales. The record is from RNAcentral.
GUUGGGUUAAGUUCCGCAACGAGCGCAACCCCUACUGCCAGUUACUAACAGGUGAUGCUGAGGACUCUGGCGGAACUGCCGGUGACAAACCGGAGGAAGGUGGGGAUGACGUCAAGUCAUCAUGGCCCUUAUGUCCAGGGCUACACACGUGCUACAAUGGUCGGAACAGAGCGAGGCGAAGCAGCGAUGCGGAGCGAAGCGCAAAAAGCCGACCGUAGUUCGGAUCGGAGUCUGAAACCCGACUCCGUGAAGUUGGAAUCGCUAGUAAUCGCACAUCAGCACGGUGCGGUGAAUACGUUCCCGGGCCUUGUACACACCGCCCGUCACACCAUCCGAGUAGAGGGUACCCGAAGCCGGUAGUCUAACCCGCAAGGGGGGACGCUGUCGAAGGUAUGCUUUGUGAGGGGGGUGAAGUCGUAACAAGGUAGCCGUACCGGAAGGUGCGGCUGGAUCACCUCCUUUCU